GACGAACGCUGGCGGCGUGCUUAACACAUGCAAGUCGAACGGAAAGGCCCUGCUUUUGUGGGGUGCUCGAGUGGCGAACGGGUGAGUAACACGUGAGUAACCUGCCCUUGACUUUGGGAUAACUUCAGGAAACUGGGGCUAAUACCGGAUAGGAGCUCCUGCUGCAUGGUGGGGGUUGGAAAGUUUCGGCGGUUGGGGAUGGACUCGCGGCUUAUCAGGUUGUUGGUGGGGUAGUGGCUUAGCAAGGCUUGGACGGGUAGCCGGCCUGAGAGGGUGACCGGCCACAUUGGGACUGAGAUACGGCCCGGACUCCUACGGGAGGCAGCAGUGGGGAAUAUUGCACAAUGGGCGGAAGCCUGAUGCAGCAACGCCGCGUGCGGGAUGACGGCCUUCGGUUUGUAAACCGCUUUCGCCUGUGACGAAGCGUGAGUGACGGUAAUGGGUAAAGAAGCACCGGCUAACUACGUG
RNAcentral lists this ribosomal RNA (468 nucleotides) under uncultured bacterium. RNAcentral describes it as "partial 16S ribosomal RNA". It matches the Rfam family "Bacterial small subunit ribosomal RNA", at positions 28 to 507 of the family's 1533-position model. The record is from RNAcentral.